AAUAAGUACAGUUUUACACUAUUCACGUUCAACAUUUGACCAUUCGUUUUAUUUAAACUUUUUUAUGAUUAAUAUUUUUAUUGCUAAAUAUUUUCAAAUUUUUCACAAAUUUUUCAAAUAAGACGGACGGUCAAAUAUUGGACACGGAUAUCUACGGCUGCACUUAUU
RNAcentral lists this microRNA precursor (168 nucleotides) under Oryza glumipatula. Its description in RNAcentral is "MIR812 microRNA precursor family". It matches the Rfam family "MIR812 microRNA precursor family". The record is from Rfam by way of RNAcentral. Lineage: Eukaryota; Viridiplantae; Streptophyta; Magnoliopsida; Poales; Poaceae.